CCCGUAGAACUCAACCAGCCACCAAUCAAUCAGAUCUUUCUCCAGACCUGAGUUUGAAUCUUUUUGAACCAUCCACUAGACUUGACCACCUUUUUUAAGACUUCUCAAACCUUUAGAGCUAUUAGGAUUAGGCUUGUCCUAAAAGAACAAGCCUUGUCCUAAAACCUAGAGUUGUAAGAGAGGGAGAGAGGGAGUGAAUAGGGGAUGUAAGAAUUGAAUGAUCACCCCAUCUGCCGUCUCCUAUUUAUAGCACCAGAUGGGGUACUAAUAGAGAAGGC
This 278-nucleotide long non-coding RNA is filed under the name Elaeis guineensis (African oil palm). RNAcentral describes it as "long non-coding RNA (EGUI_LNC021557)". The record is from RNAcentral. Lineage: Eukaryota; Viridiplantae; Streptophyta; Magnoliopsida; Arecales; Arecaceae.